Molecule: unclassified non-coding RNA, 200 nt
Filed under: soil metagenome
Description: partial contains internal transcribed spacer 2 and large subunit ribosomal RNA
Source: RNAcentral
UCGUCUUCGGGCGACGGGCCCCAAAAUGAGGGUAUAGGCGUCGAACCUUCAACCGUAGUAAAAUCAUUCGGUUUGGAAGGGACGGCACCGGUGCCGAGUCUCUUCGAGAUGGCGUAGCGCAGCGAUGCCUCGCCGGCGGGGUGCCCGUCAGCACUCCAGAAAUCGACCUCGGAUCAGGUAGGGAUACCCGCUGAACUUAA